AAUAAUAUAAUUACUAUACGUGUAUUCUUUAUUUAAUAGUAUAAAGAUGCUUAAGAUAAUACAUAUCUCUAUGAUUUGAACAUACAUUACUACUAUAUUUUAUUACCAUUUAUAUAUGUUGGUUUUAAGUUUAAGGCUUGACUUUAAAAAAAAAUCUAUAAGUUUUGGAAAAAAAAAAAAAAAGAAAGUAUAAUCACGAGAAGUGAUUAUCUAAACACUGAUUAUCUAAAGCUCAUUGUGUAUUUUUCAUCUAAAGAUUACAAGACAUGAAGUAUGUAAAUAGAAUUCAAUUAUGUUGGAUUAAAAUUUCUCUGAAGAGAAUAUUAAUGUUGCAUACAUAUUGAAGAAUAUAUAUUCUAGAUAAGCAAUGUUGUCCAGCAGACACAUAAUUGACAAAAGAGAUUAAAGAAGUUUAUACUUGUCUUUUUGAGACUCAGAA
RNAcentral lists this long non-coding RNA (439 nucleotides) under Brassica rapa (field mustard). RNAcentral's name for it is "long non-coding RNA (BRAP_LNC002397)". Lineage: Eukaryota; Viridiplantae; Streptophyta; Magnoliopsida; Brassicales; Brassicaceae. The record is from RNAcentral.